GUCGUGAAGACCGUUACAAACAAGAACGAGUUACAAGCAGAAGACCGCGGCGCACGCAAUCAAAUAUCCAUCCAUGUCUCCCUCCCUGACCUGCCUUAACCGAUGGUGACAGCCAGGUUGAACUCAUCCAAGACUCUUUAGGACAUCAGCUAGAUCAGCAUCAGAGUAAACAACAUUGAUGAGACUUUCUGUCCUGUACAUGCAUCUGAAUUGACAUAUCUCUGGAUUUCCUUCCAUAAUGAAUGGUUUAGUUAAGGAUGUGAAUGAUCUCUGUAUUGUUCUCAGUGAGUAGAGACAAGGUGUCUUCAUGCAUGGGAUCAUUUUGUCACCAGAACAUUGGGGUCCAGUAUGGUGCUGCAGGACUCGGCCUGCUCUUUCUUCACCAGAUCUCUUUUCAUCCCUCUCUUUUUUCCCCAUCAAUGAAGAUGUCAAACUCGUGCUCUUCCUCUGACGGCCGGCUAUGACUGAACAAAUCAGAAACAGAAAGAGAAAGCGAGCGAGGAGGAGGAGGAAUCUGACCUCCUCAACUCUGAAGAAAAGACUUCAUCACUUCCUGUCAAAUCAGCAGCUGCUGCAGACUGAGAAUUUCAGAAGCAGGACCUGAGAGGGAUUGUUUGCAAAUGUGUGUGUGUUGGAAGCUCAAAGAGGUUUCAUAAUAGGCAGUGCACUCCCUAAACACACAGCGCUGAAUCUGAGAUCUCCCCAGCAAAUUUAGAAUCAUUUAGGUAACCCUUCCUUGUUCCUACAGGAAGUUAAGGAGUUUGUGUGCCUGUGUAUGAAUGUGCCAUGCGCAAUUUGUGUUGUUUGUGUCAGAUAGCCAAUCAAACAGGGUUUUGUGUUUCUUUUAUUAACGCUUGUUUACUUUGAG
This is a long non-coding RNA of Onychostoma macrolepis, 868 nucleotides long. RefSeq lists it as uncharacterized. The transcript is spliced from 5 exons. NCBI's taxonomy places the organism in Eukaryota, Metazoa, Chordata, Actinopteri, Cypriniformes, Cyprinidae. The record is from RefSeq and is a predicted model, not a curated record.